GCGUUUGUGGUUUAAUGGUAAAAUCCAUCGUUGCCAUCAUCUUCUCUUCACUAAAAGAGAACUUGAAACAACGUCGAUGGGCUCCGGGUUCGAUUCCCGGCGAACGCA
This is a non-coding RNA of Sclerotinia nivalis, 108 nucleotides long. NCBI's taxonomy places the organism in Eukaryota, Fungi, Ascomycota, Leotiomycetes, Helotiales, Sclerotiniaceae. The record is from the annotation of a GenBank genome assembly.